This 253-nucleotide ribosomal RNA is filed under the name uncultured bacterium. Its description in RNAcentral is "partial 16S ribosomal RNA". It matches the Rfam family "Bacterial small subunit ribosomal RNA", at positions 524 to 776 of the family's 1533-position model. The record is from RNAcentral.
GACAGAGGGUGCAAACGUUGCUCGGAAUCACUGGGCGUAAAGGGCGUGUAGGCGGAUAGAUAAGUCGGGCGUGAAAUCCCCAGGCUCAACCUGGGAACUGCACUCGAAACUGUUUAUCUUGAGUGCCGGAGAGGAAAGCGGAAUUCCUGGUGUAGAGGUGAAAUUCGUAGAUAUCAGGAGGAACACCAGUGGCGAAGGCGGCUUUCUGGACGGUAACUGACGCUGAUGCGCGAAAGCCAGGGGAGCAAACGGG